Molecule: transfer RNA, 68 nt
Filed under: Tolypeutes matacus
Lineage: Eukaryota; Metazoa; Chordata; Mammalia; Cingulata; Chlamyphoridae
Description: tRNA-Thr
Source: RNAcentral
GUCCUGGUAGUAUAAACCAUUACCAUGGUCUUGUAAACCAUAAAUGAACCAUAAAUGCUUCCCAGGAC